AUGUCGUCCUUCACGGGCGUGUCUGUCGCCGACGGCAACAACCAGUCCAUCUGCGAGACGUCGGCCGUGGACGCCAGCGGGGACAGCGGGUACCACCUGUUCAUGGUCAAGGCCUACUCGCGCAUCAAAGACCUCCUGUCCAUGGGCGAGUGCGUCGCCUCUGGUUCUUUCACAAUAGGAGGCCAUGAUUGGUUAAUCGAGUACUACCCUAACGGCGACAACCCGCACUGCGCCGGCUUCAUUUCGCUCUUUCUAACCCUUCUCGACACCGAUGUCGAUGUUGACGGAGAUGUUGAAGAGGCCGUGGAGGCAAAGUUCAGUUUUAGUCUCAUCGACCAGGUUGAGAAGCAGAUGCCAAUGUACGUCCGUGGAACCUGUGAGACCCGCAGCUUCUCCGGCAGCGCGCCAACCUGGGGCAAUGGCAGGUUUGUGAGAACAGAUACCCUUGAACGGUCAGCGGAUCUCAGGUCUGAUUGUUUCACUAUCCGGUGUGACGUCGUGGUUUGUAACACCAAGGAUGAUGAUGCCGGUGGCACCGAGGCUCUCCCGUCGGACAUACACCAACAUUUUAGCGCUCUCCUUCAGAAUAAGGUGGGUGCCGAUGUGACGUUUCAGGUCGGCAGCGAGACCUUCGCCGCACACCGGUGUGUGCUCGCUGCCCGAUCCACGGUGUUCAUGGCACAGCUCUUUGGCCCCAUGAAGGAGGGCACUGCUUCAUCCAGCAGUGUCAUACAUAUCAAAGACAUGGAAGCAAAGGUGUUCAAGGCUUUGCUUAGCUUCGUCUACACAGACUCAUUCCCUGAGAUGUACGAGGAGAUCAUGGAGGAGAAUGCAAUGUCAGCAGCAGCCGAGGAACAAGGACAAGAAGUGGAAGAGGUGGAGGAUGAAACGGGGCUGCAAUGGCUGCUAGAUUUGCUUGUAGCAGCAGAUCGGUACGAUCUCCAGCGGCUCAAGUUCAUCUGUGAAAAGCAGCUGUCUCAGCGCAUAGGUGUGAGCUCGGUGGCAUCAGUUCUUGCUCUAGCCGAGCAGCACCACUGCCAUGGAUUGAAGGUGGCGUGCUUGAAGUUUAUACAAGCCCAAUCUCCCUCGUGUUUGCAAACAGUAAUGGCGACUGAUGGUUGGGAUCAUGUAUAUACGACAUAUCCGUCUCUUGUGAACGGGUUCAUUGCCAAGCUUAUUAAAUCGAACCAGAAGUAA
This 1197-nucleotide ribosomal RNA is filed under the name Triticum aestivum (bread wheat). RNAcentral describes it as "partial small subunit ribosomal RNA". The record is from RNAcentral. Lineage: Eukaryota; Viridiplantae; Streptophyta; Magnoliopsida; Poales; Poaceae.